UGCCCCCUGGCAAUGGGCAAAGAGACACUUUGCUGGUGGUGGUAUUCUUCUAUCAGUGAGGGUCAGAGCAGAUGGCAGUCCUUUGUUUAUCCUAGCUUGAUGCCUCUGGCUUGGGGGCCAAAACUGUCUUAUGCAUAAGACACAUAC
Molecule: small nucleolar RNA, 147 nt
Organism: Arvicanthis niloticus (Nile rat)
Lineage: Eukaryota; Metazoa; Chordata; Mammalia; Rodentia; Muridae
Product: small nucleolar RNA SNORA48
Source: RefSeq, a predicted model, not a curated record